UCCCGCCCCGCCCCGCCCCGACCCGCCCCAAGCCCCGCCCCGACCCCGCCUGCCCCUGGCCCCGCCCCGGAGCCCGGGCUCCACCCCGCCCCUAGCCCCGCCCCGCCCCGCCCCGAUCUCGGUCCCAGCCCCACCCCAACCCCUCAUCCCGAACUCUCCCAGACCCCGGACCCUGAACCCGUCCCGUCUCCGCUCCGUACCCGGACCCUGGACCCCCUCAGACCCCGGACCCCGGACCCGCUCAGAGCCUCCCAGACCCCGGUCCCAGAACUAACCUGACUUCUGACCCCGGCCCCGCUCCGCCCUUCUCGGUCCGGGCUCCGCCCCAGCCCCGACUUCAGCCCCGCCCCGACGCCGGGACCGGGGCCCGACCCGCCUACCUGGGUCCGGGCUCCGUCCCGACCCCCGGCCGGCACCAGGGGGCGGCACUUGGGCUCAGCCAAAUCCCUACCCCGCAUCGUCCCACCGCCCCGCACCUUCCGGCCUUUCCCUGAGAGUUGGGUGAGGGGGCCUUGGGGUCAGUCAGGUGACUGGCCACGCACUUAGGAUCCAAUCACUUGCCGUGGGCCGUUAGGCCUCGCUGCAAACCCCGCUCUAGUGAGGAUGGGCGGGACCCAGGAGUUCCGGAAUGCGGAGGGCCGGGGCUGAAGGGCGCAGCGAGGCCUCACAAGGUCGCGGGAGACCUGUUUGCCACCCCCUCGGGGCAGAACCAGAGGGAGUGGGUUAGGAGGGUGCGCCGUCUGGGCGCCAUCACUUCCUGGUUGGGGAUCCCGUCCAGUUGGUUAACGUCCUUCAACCUGUUUCCCUGGUGGCACACUGGACUGAGACGACAUCCACCCCAAGGCGCUUUUGUGACGAUUAAUUGACAUAAUGUACACGAGGUUCUUGGCACAGAUGACACGGAAUAGGAGAUAGGGUGUUUAUGGGGUUUAGUUUUCGUUUCUGAAUGAUUAUUUAAACCGCUUCCUGAGAGAGGUUUUGCUUAGCGUUUAUAGGAGCAGCGAGGUGAUUGCAUGAAGGAGUCUGUCUCCAGUGAGGAGAGCUGGACUCCGCUGGCACUGGGAACGGUGGGGCCCGCCCAGGAGGCAGGAGGAUGGGAAGAGGGUCUCUUCCCAGCCACGGAGCAGACGACUUCUAAUCCGACGGAGGUGUCACACAUUAUGGGCACAACUACGAAGACGUGGUUUUCUGAGAGGCACUCUCAAAGACUGGACGGUUAACGUGUCUUGACCUGUGCCAGGCGCGUGAUUUAAUCUCACUUAGUCCUGGCCAGAACCUUGGGAGGUUUGAGCCUAGGAUUGUUUGAGGUGUGGAAGAGCCUGGGCUUCUGACCCCCCGUGACAUGACUUCUUGAAGGCAAACGUGGACCCAGCACUCACAAGCACAGACCCAGCUGUGGACCCAGGCAGCGCCUUGAAGACGUGACAAACGCAUCAAAGACACAGAGACACAUACCCGGCAGACGUCAGACACAGGGAACGCCACACACACACACUCGCACACACACGUAGUCCUUAGCUCACACACACUCUCUCUCUCUCUCUCUCUCUCUCUCUCUCUCCUGUGUACAAAUCCCAGCUCGGUGGAGCUAAGGGUCACACAGAGGAAUGUCCUAUGAUCUAUGUGUGUUUAUAAGGCCGUGACCAUACCGCCUGAUGAGCCAUAUUUUCCCACCCUCCAAAAAGGGAAACCUCUCUCUGCCGACUUGCUGGAGAGGCUCAGGCAAAGAGACAAGACAGAGCUAGAGCCAAAACGCCCCUUCGCCCCAGCUCGCACCGAAACGAGAGGCUUCCACGCCGGGACCCAGGUGCACACCCGCAAAACCGGAGUCAUCUCCCGCACCCACACACAUGCCUACUGGACCCUCUCCCUCCUUCCUCCCCAGCCAGGCACCCCACCCUCAUGAGGGACUCCUGCACUAGCCUGUGUGUGUGUGUCUGUUCUCUGAACCUUCCUCUUGUCCUGGCUGAGCCCACACUCCUUCCCCAGCUCUCAAACCCUAUGCCAAAGGUGUAGACAGCUGUUCAAGAACAGAGGGGCCCCAGUGCCACUGCUGGCCUCAGCAUGACCUGGCCCUGGCUCCCAGGGAGGCCCUGCCAUUUCUAUACCCAGGAUUAGCGCCAGCUGCCACCCACUCCCGAAUGCCAAGUAUGGAUCCCGUUGAGCUGGAAUCCCCUCGCCCGCCCUCCCUGGCUCCCCAGUCCGGGAGUGCUGGUUGCCUGGGCUCCUCCCCCUCCCCGGAGGCUCCCCAACUCCCUCUCCCCCUCGCCCAGCCAGCUGAUGGCGCAGACAUCCCGGUGGAGGGUAGCCCAGAGCUGAGGCAGCCCCCGCAAUGUGUCGCUCGUUCCCCAGCCCAGCAGCCCGCGGGUGGGGCAGUGGGGAGCGGAUCAAGGGCAGAAGAAGGCAGCGGUUUGCUAGACAGAGAUUUGUGGGCUGCGUCUUCUAGAAGAGCCUCAGGGGACAGGAGGUGGUGAGCGCCAGGUGGCUGCCUCUGAGUCAUUGAGGUUGAGCAAGGGACAGAUUUGGAGAACAGGUCAUUGAUGAGUUUGUGCACACCCAGCUCUGAGCAAGAUGGGGAGGAGGCAGCAGUUGUUGCUAGUACUUCCCGUGCACCUGCUUUGUGCGGGGCUCCCCGCUAAGCACCCUGCGCUCACUCAGUCUUCCGGUCAGUCCUCCCAGCACCCCGCAGGGCGAGCGCUCUCGUGGCCUGUUUUGCAGAUGGGAGAGGAGGCCCCGAGAGGUUAUGUAAGUGACCCAAGGUCACCUAGCUACAUGGCAGCACUGAGAUCCAACUGUAAGCUUUUUGACUCUGGAACAUUCUUCUCCCUCCUGCUUCCCUAACCUGCACACUUAUUCAUAUUACACACAAGCAUCAGUGCAUACGUAUUGUAUAGGCACGCCUCUACAACCUUUUGAAAUAGCUUUUCGGGGCGCCUGGGGGGGCUGCGUCGGUUAAGCGUCCGACUUCAACUCAGGUCAUGAUCUAAUGGUUUGUGAGUUCGAGCCCCGUGUCGGGCUCUGUGCCGACAGCUCGGAGCCUGGAGCCUGCUUGGGAUUCUGUGUCUCCCUCUCUCUCUGCCCCUCCCCCCGCUUGCGCUCGCUCUC
Molecule: long non-coding RNA, 3105 nt
Organism: Acinonyx jubatus (cheetah)
Lineage: Eukaryota; Metazoa; Chordata; Mammalia; Carnivora; Felidae
Exons: 3
Source: RefSeq, a predicted model, not a curated record